This 253-nucleotide ribosomal RNA is filed under the name uncultured bacterium. Its description in RNAcentral is "partial 16S ribosomal RNA". It matches the Rfam family "Bacterial small subunit ribosomal RNA", at positions 524 to 776 of the family's 1533-position model. The record is from RNAcentral.
UACAGAGGUCCCAAGCGUUGUUCGGAUUCACUGGGCGUAAAGGGUGCGUAGGUGGCUGGGAAAGUCUUGUGUGAAAUCCCACGGCUCAACCGUGGAACGGCACAGGAUACUAUUCGGCUUGAGGAUUGGAGGGGGGACUGGAAUUCUCGGUGUAGCAGUGAAAUGCGUAGAUAUCGAGAGGAACACCGGUGGCGAAGGCGGGUCCCUGGACAAUUCCUGACACUGAGGCACGAAAGCUAGGGGAGCAAACAGG